GAUGAAGAACGCAGCGAAAUGCGAUACGUAAUGUGAAUUGCAGAAUUCAGUGAAUCAUCGAAUCUUUGAACGCAUAUUGCGCUCUCUGGUAUUCCGGAGAGCAUGCUUGUUUGAGUAUCAGUAAACACCUCAACCCUUUUUUCUUUUUUGAAAUUGGAGCUGGACUUGAGUGAUCCCAACGCUUUCUUCCAAGAAAGUGGCGGGUUGCUUGAAAUGCAGGUGCAGCUGAACUUUUCUCUGAGCUAUAAGCAUAUCUAUUUAGUCUGCCUAAAAAACAGAUUAUUACCUUUGCUGCAGCUAACAUAAAGGAGACUAGUUCUUGUGCUGACUGAUGCAGGAUUCACAGAGACAGCUUCGGCUGACUUUGUAAACUCGAUCUCAAAUCAAGUAAGACUACCCGCUGAACUUAAGCAUAUCAAUAAGCGGAGGA
Molecule: unclassified non-coding RNA, 430 nt
Filed under: soil metagenome
Description: partial contains 5.8S ribosomal RNA, internal transcribed spacer 2, and large subunit ribosomal RNA
Rfam family: 5.8S ribosomal RNA (bases 1-120)
Source: RNAcentral